This 393-nucleotide ribosomal RNA is filed under the name uncultured bacterium. Its description in RNAcentral is "partial 16S ribosomal RNA". It matches the Rfam family "Bacterial small subunit ribosomal RNA", at positions 523 to 918 of the family's 1533-position model. The record is from RNAcentral.
AUACGGAGGAUCCGAGCGUUAUCCGGAUUUAUUGGGUUUAAAGGGUGCGCAGGCGGGAGAUUAAGUCGGCGGUGAAAUUUUGCAGCUCAACUGUAAAAGUACCUUCGAAACUGGUUUCCUUGAGUGGAGAUGAAGUAGGCGGAAUUUGUGGUGUAGCGGUGAAAUGCAUAGAUAUCACGAGGAACUCCGAUUGCGCAGGCAGCUUACUAAACUACUACUGACGCUCAGGCACGAAGGCGUGGGGAUCAAACAGGAUUAGAUACCCUGGUAGUCCACGCAGUAAACGAUGAUUACUAGCUGUUUGCGAUACAAUGUAAGCGGCUGAGCGAAAGCGUUAAGUAAUCCACCUGGGGAGUACGUUCGCAAGAAUGAAACUCAAAGGAAUUGACGGGG